This 494-nucleotide ribosomal RNA is filed under the name uncultured bacterium. RNAcentral describes it as "partial 16S ribosomal RNA". It matches the Rfam family "Bacterial small subunit ribosomal RNA", at positions 28 to 507 of the family's 1533-position model. The record is from RNAcentral.
GACGAACGCUGGCGGCGUGCUUAACACAUGCAAGUCGAACGGAAAGGCCUGCUUUCCCUUGUGGAUUGCGGGUGCUCGAGUGGCGAACGGGUGAGUAACACGUGAGUGAUCUGCCCCCAACUUGGGUAUAAGCCUGGGAAACUGGGUCUAAUUCCCGAUAGGACUGCAGGGUGGUGCCUGUGGUGGAAAACGAUUUUCUAGUGGUUGGGGAUGAGCUCGCGGCCUAUCAGCUUGUUGGUGGGGUAAUGGCCUACCAAGGCGGCGACGGGUAGCCGGCCUGAGAGGGUGGACGGCCACAUUGGGACUGAGGUACGGCCCAGACUCCUACGGGAGGCAGCAGUGGGGAAUAUUGCACAAUGGGCGGAAGCCUGAUGCAGCGACGCCGCGUGGGGGAUGACGGCCUUCGGGUUGUAAACUCCUUUCGACCGCGAGGAAGCCACCUGGUUGGAAGGGUGGUGACGGUAGUGGUAGAAGAAGCACCGGCUAACUACGUG